GAAAACUCAAUAAGAUGCGAAGCUCAGGGUCAGGCCUGUGGCAGGAGCCUGCAAACCGGCCUCUGAACUCCCUACUCAGGUACACAAUGACCCGCAGUGUGGCUCUUCACCCUACACCUGCUCCAGGGCUGUCAGCCUCUUCUUUGUGGGUGAGCAGGAGAUCCAUCUGGCCAAGGAGGUCACCCAUGGAGGCAUGAGGGUCCAACUGCCACAUGUCAUGGGGAGCGUACGUCUGCAGCGGCUUGCCGGCUAUGUCAUCGUGCGGCAUCAGUCAGCCUUCACACUGGCCUGGGAUGGUGCCUCGGCUGUCUACAUCAAGAUGAGUCCAGAGCUUCUGGGCUGGACCCAUGGGCUGUGUGGGAACAACAAUGCUGACCCCAAGGAUGAUCUGGUGACCAGCUCUGCUCAAGUUGGGGUUCUGUGUGGGGCUGUGUGGCUUUGCCAGCCCCUAGCCCUGGCUCCUGGUCCCUUGCUCUAGGGCGUGUACGAGCAGUGUGAGGCUCUACUGCGGCCCCCCUUUGACGCCUGCCACGCCUACGUCAG
This 543-nucleotide small RNA is filed under the name Pan troglodytes (chimpanzee). Its description in RNAcentral is "retained intron". Lineage: Eukaryota; Metazoa; Chordata; Mammalia; Primates; Hominidae. The record is from RNAcentral.